Small nuclear RNA from Bison bison bison, 106 nucleotides. The record is from Ensembl. Lineage: Eukaryota; Metazoa; Chordata; Mammalia; Artiodactyla; Bovidae.
GUACUCACUUGGGCAGCACAUACACUAAAAUUAGAAUGAUACAGAGAAGAUUAGUAUGACCCUGCACAAGGAUGACACGCAAAUUUGUGAAGUGUUCCAUAUUUUU